RNAcentral lists this long non-coding RNA (670 nucleotides) under Marmota monax (woodchuck). The record is from RNAcentral. Lineage: Eukaryota; Metazoa; Chordata; Mammalia; Rodentia; Sciuridae.
GUUAGUAUGGACUUGGACUUCUGUCUCCCUCACCCUCUGGGACUUACCGGUGUGCCUACAAUCUCUACCUGUGACCUGGGGGCCAAAGAUUCUGGCUCCAUUUAGUUCGUUUGUUUGUUUUCUAUACUGGGGACUGAACCAGGUAUAGGAAAAGAGAGAGAGAGAGAGAGAGAGAGAGAGAGAGAGAGAGAGAGAGAGAGAGAAUGUCUCAACUAAGAUGCCCAACCUGGCCUUGAACUUGAGACCCUCCCACCUCAGCCUCCUGAGUAGCUGGGAUUAUGGGUAUGUGCCACUGCACCAGGCUUCUGGCAGAAGGUGUCCCAGAGUCCUCCUCCCCAAAGAAAGGAGUUGUUCCUUGGGGCUUCCCUCCACACAGGCACCAGAAGAUGCCUGCAGACCUGGCUCCUCCCGCUCCCCCCGCACCCCGCCCACCUUGCUGAAUUCCUCUGCAGGCCUGUUCUACACCAUGGUUGCAGCGUGGCCGUUUAUGGAGCUACUCACUUACCUUUGCUUUCAUGAUCCUCACAGAGCACCUAGCACACACCCACCACUCCUGCUUGCAGGUGAUCGGACGAUGAUAACGCCAAUCUACCCAACCCUGCCCAACGCAGCCUUCUCACCUAGCAUUGUACUAACUGCUUUUCUCUCUCUCCCUCCCACUCUCCCUCCC